Molecule: ribosomal RNA, 382 nt
Filed under: uncultured eukaryote
Lineage: Eukaryota
Description: partial 18S ribosomal RNA
Rfam family: Eukaryotic small subunit ribosomal RNA
Source: RNAcentral
CAAUAGCGUAUAUUAAAGUUGUUGCAGUUAAAAAGCUCGUAGUUGGAUUUCUGGUUGAAGCGACCGGUCGGGCGUUGAUUCUUCUGCACUGGAGUCGGUUUUGGCCAUCCUCUAGGAAAGUGCGUCUGGUAUUAAGUUAUCGGGCGUAUGAUCCUGGUCUUUUACUGUGAAAAAAUUAGAGUGUUUAAAGCAGGCCUUCGCCUUGAAUACAUUAGCAUGGAAUAAUAAGAUAGGACUUUGGUCUAUUUUGUUGGUUUGCAGACCGAAGUAAUGAUUAAUAGGGAUAGUUGGGGGUAUUUAUAUUCCGAUGUCAGAGGUGAAAUUCUUAGAUUUUCGGAAGAUAAACUUAUGCGAAAGCAUUUACCAAGGAUGUUUUCAUUAA